GGGUGGGUAGCUCAGUUGGUUAGAGCGUCGGUUUUACACGCCGGAUGUCCUGGGUUCGAGUCCCAGCCCGCCCA
RNAcentral lists this transfer RNA (74 nucleotides) under Spirochaeta sp. LUC14_002_19_P3. It matches the Rfam family "tRNA". Rfam says of the family: Transfer RNA (tRNA) molecules are approximately 80 nucleotides in length. Lineage: Bacteria; Pseudomonadati; Spirochaetota; Spirochaetia; Spirochaetales; Spirochaetaceae. The record is from Rfam by way of RNAcentral.